CAGUCGAACGGCAGCAUAGGAGCUUGCUCCUGAUGGCGAGUGGCGAACGGGUGAGUAAUAUAUCGGAACGUGCCCUAGAGUGGGGGAUAACUAGUCGAAAGAUUAGCUAAUACCGCAUACGAUCUACGGAUGAAAGUGGGGGAUCGCAAGACCUCAUGCUCAUGGAGCGGCCGAUAUCUGAUUAGCUAGUUGGUGGGGUAAAAGCUCACCAAGGCAACGAUCAGUAGCUGGUCUGAGAGGACGAUCAGCCACAUUGGGACUGAGACACGGCCCAAACUCCUACGGGAGGCAGCAGUGGGGAAUUUUGGACAAUGGGGGAAACCCUGAUCCAGCAAUGCCGCGUGAGUGAAGAAGGCCUUCGGGUUGUAAAGCUCUUUUGUCAGGGAAGAAACGGUAUCGAAUAAUACACGAUACUAAUGACGGUACCUGAAGAAUAAGCACCGGCUAACUACGUGCCAGCAGCCGCGGUAAUACGUAGGGUGCGAGCGUUAAUCGGAAUUACUGGGCGUAAAGCGUGCGCAGGCGGUUAUGCAAGACAGAUGUGAAAUCCCCGAGCUUAACUUGGGAAUUGCAUUUGUGACUGCAUAACUAGAGUGUGUCAGAGGGAGGUAGAAUUCCACGUGUAGCAGUGAAAUGCGUAGAUAUGUGGAGGAAUACCGAUGGCGAAGGCAGCCUCCUGGGAUAACACUGACGCUCAUGCACGAAAGCGUGGGGAGCAAACAGGAUUAGAUACCCUGGUAGUCCACGCCCUAAACGAUGUCUACUAGUUGUUGGGACUUAAUUGUCUUGGUAACGCAGCUAACGCGUGAAGUAGACCGCCUGGGGAGUACGGUCGCAAGAUUAAAACUCAAAGGAAUUGA
This 860-nucleotide ribosomal RNA is filed under the name uncultured bacterium. Its description in RNAcentral is "bacterial SSU rRNA". It matches the Rfam family "Bacterial small subunit ribosomal RNA", at positions 59 to 913 of the family's 1533-position model. The record is from RNAcentral.